RNAcentral lists this long non-coding RNA (230 nucleotides) under Mytilus galloprovincialis (Mediterranean mussel). The record is from RNAcentral. Lineage: Eukaryota; Metazoa; Mollusca; Bivalvia; Mytilida; Mytilidae.
GUUGUGUCAUUUUUAAUUCCCAUUCCUACAGCUGUGACGUCACGUUCACAAAAAUAUGUAAAUACAUCAACAGCUCCUUCAUUUUGUGAGGAAAUUCUAUGGGAGACUGAAGGUGCAAAACUUACAUACAAUGGAGUGCUCUUCUUUUUACAAUAUAUAAAUCCGUUGGUAAUUCUGAUCGUUACCUACGGACGGAUAAGCUAUGUGAUGUGGGCUAUCAAGACUCCUGG